GAGACCCGAGGCGGCCGCCGGUCCGCGUGUCAGGUGAACUGAACUUCAGGAGAGCAGCACAGAGACUCGGCUGGAGCUGGGCUUCACUCACUGAUGUAAGUGUCUGCCACCAGAGCACUAAACCGAGGCAGCAUGAUGACUGUGGUGUGAGCUGAGGUCAGCUGAGUUUGUGUUUUAAAAGCAGAUCUGGAUCAAGCGGCAGCCUCUGCAGGUGAAAAAUGACAAACACCGAGGUACCAAGACCUGCAGUUCCUCUAACAUCCAGCAGGGGCUUCAGCAGUUACAUGCACGUCCAUCCAGAACUAAAAGCAGAGCUCCAACACGCCCUAUGAAAGGUCGGUGAUACAGUAUUUGCUCCUGUUGCCAUCCAAGGUUUGAAAGAGUAUCUCCUUCUGACUAUAAAUGUGCACUGAGCUCAGGUUAUCAUUAUUUACCUAAAAGAUUUUUAUUGAAAAAUAGAGAAAAUACCAGAUUUCCUUUUUUUUAAUUGAAGGAUAAAUGAUCAGUGUGAAUUUCAUAAAUGUUUCCAAAACGUUGUUACAGGGGAAAAAUAAUCAGGAAGAAAAGGAACCUUAACAUCGACUUCCUCCACUUCUGCACAGCACGUGCACACAAACCCCACAGAAAAGACAAAAAUAUGUAUAAAGACAGUAAUUGUGUUUUCCACUAGACUGUUUGUCAUCGCCAGAAAUUUUAUAUGGGAGACAUACCUUUAACAUUUUAACUCCAGCAACUUUUCUACAUUUCACUGAUACAGAAGUUACUGUAUGAAGGAAGGAAAUGAAGUAAAGUAUGAAGUUUGUUUUGUUUUCAACUUUUCCUAGGUUGCUGUUGCAUUAGCCAACUGAUUUUUGUUUUUUUAACUACCCUGGUGUUGAUUUCUCUUAUUUUGAAAUGCUCUACUCCAUACUUGAUUUUAAACCAAUGACACCACACGUGGGCACCAAAGAUCCAAAUUCUAGUUGGGUGUUUGGGCUGUUCAGAUUUGUUAUUUACACUAGAAAUGAGACCGAGGCCUUUUUAAGAGCCUCCACGAGCAGUUUCAACGCCUGCAUCACUACAGGACACUUUCUUCCCACGCUCCUGAAGGAGGCAUUUAUUCAUCAUUAAAGCUUAAAUACACAAGUACUCCCACUCUGAUCACAGAUACUCACGCUGUGGGACCCUGACACCUGUGGAGGUCGGGCUCACCUGUCCACAGCAGCUCUGCAUGUUUGAUUUGGCACAUUUACACCAGUUUAAAGCUAAUGUUUAUGUGGAGUCACCACACAUCUGAUACUGGACGGACACUGAAGCACCACAUGAUUACAGCCAGCUGAUCGAUAAUUUGGUCCUUAAUUUGCAUUUUAAUCUGAUGUGCACAAAGAGGCGGAGUCUGCAGAGCUGCUGCUGUAAAUGCAGGUUUUUUUUUUUAAAAGUACUUUGAUGUUCAAACUGAGCUGCAGACACUCAGCUGACAGCCUCAUUUAUUCAGACAGACAUUGACAGGAGUUUGAAGCGUUUGUUCUGGAAGUCUGUCCUCAUUACCUCUGAGUGUUUCUCUGCACAGAACAACAACCCCUGCGAGACCACAGGCACUGGCAGGAAGCUCGAAAUUCCAAGUUUUCCUUUCCAACCUUUCUGUAUUUCGGAUACAGCAAGACUCCCUGUGUUUACGUCACUCGAUCAAUAAAAGAUAAAUACUAAAAUUUAAACUCAUCCACAUAUUCAUCUCGUGUUUUGGCUCAAACAUUCCAUCAGAGACGCUGAAACGCUGCCGACAUCUUUUUAUUUAAACUGGGAGAAAAAAGAAGCCAAGGUGCUUUUUUUUUGCUUUUUUUAAACCUUUAUUUUUUAGAACAGUGUCCUAUUCACUCAGAUGGGCACUCAACUUUGCCGCUGUUGAUGUCAUCAAUGACAUCAUGGGGAUGG
Long non-coding RNA from Oreochromis aureus, 1911 nucleotides. RefSeq lists it as uncharacterized. The transcript is spliced from 3 exons. The record is from RefSeq and is a predicted model, not a curated record. NCBI's taxonomy places the organism in Eukaryota, Metazoa, Chordata, Actinopteri, Cichliformes, Cichlidae.